RNAcentral lists this ribosomal RNA (301 nucleotides) under uncultured bacterium. RNAcentral's name for it is "partial 16S ribosomal RNA". It matches the Rfam family "Bacterial small subunit ribosomal RNA", at positions 509 to 807 of the family's 1533-position model. The record is from RNAcentral.
CAGCCGCCACGGUAAUACGUAGGUGGCAAGCGUUGUCCGGAUUUAUUGGGCGUAAAGGGCUCGCAGGCGGUUUCUUAAGUCUGAUGUGAAAGCCCCCGGCUCAACCGGGGAGGGUCAUUGGAAACUGGGAAACUUGAGUGCAGAAGAGGAGAGUGGAAUUCCACGUGUAGCGGUGAAAUGCGUAGAGAUGUGGAGGAACACCAGUGGCGAAGGCGACUCUCUGGUCUGUAACUGACGCUGAGGAGCGAAAGCGUGGGGAGCGAACAGGAUUAGAUACCCCAGUAGUCCCUGUCUCUUAUAC